CACGUAGGGUGCGAGCGUUGUCCGGAAUUAUUGGGCGUAAAGAGCUCGUAGGCGGUGUGUCGCGUCGGCCGUGAAAACCUGCAGCUUAACUGUGGGCUUGCGGUCGAUACGGGCAUCACUGGAGUUCGGCAGGGGAGACUGGAAUUCCUGGUGUAGCGGUGAAAUGCGCAGAUAUCAGGAGGAACACCGGUGGCGAAGGCGGGUCUCUGGGCCGCAACUGACACUGAGGGACGAAAGCUAGGGGAGCGAAUGGG
This 254-nucleotide ribosomal RNA is filed under the name uncultured bacterium. Its description in RNAcentral is "partial 16S ribosomal RNA". It matches the Rfam family "Bacterial small subunit ribosomal RNA", at positions 524 to 776 of the family's 1533-position model. The record is from RNAcentral.